AACGAACGCUGGCGGCAUGCCUAACACAUGCAAGUCGAACGAACCCUUCGGGGUUAGUGGCGCACGGGUGCGUAACGCGUGGGGAUCUGCCCUUUGCUUCGGAAUAACAGUUAGAAAUGACUGCUAAUACCGGAUGAUGUCGAAAGACCAAAGAUUUAUCGGCAAAGGAUGAACCCGCGUAGGAUUAGCUAGUUGGUAGGGUAAAGGCCUACCAAGGCGACGAUCCUUAGCUGGUCUGAGAGGAUGAUCAGCCACACUGGGACUGAGACACGGCCCAGACUCCUACGGGAGGCAGCAGUGGGAAUAUUGGACAAUGGGCGAAAGCCUGAUCCAGCAAUACCGCGUGAGUGAUGAAGGCC
RNAcentral lists this ribosomal RNA (359 nucleotides) under uncultured bacterium. Its description in RNAcentral is "bacterial SSU rRNA". It matches the Rfam family "Bacterial small subunit ribosomal RNA", at positions 29 to 416 of the family's 1533-position model. The record is from RNAcentral.